Long non-coding RNA from Cydia pomonella (codling moth), 162 nucleotides. RefSeq lists it as uncharacterized. NCBI's taxonomy places the organism in Eukaryota, Metazoa, Arthropoda, Insecta, Lepidoptera, Tortricidae. The record is from RefSeq and is a predicted model, not a curated record. The transcript has 4 exons.
AAAACUUUUUUUUCAGCUUCAAAUCGGAAAUAUAACUGCAACAAGUGGUGGACAGAUACAAAUCCAAAUUAAUAAGCUUAGUGCAAUGAGAAAUAAACUUAAUAUGAAAAAAUUAAGCAACAACGAACAACAGGUAUUUAUUUUGAGUUAUUAAGAUUCCAG